RNAcentral lists this ribosomal RNA (253 nucleotides) under uncultured Gemmatimonas sp. Its description in RNAcentral is "partial 16S ribosomal RNA". It matches the Rfam family "Bacterial small subunit ribosomal RNA", at positions 524 to 776 of the family's 1533-position model. The record is from RNAcentral. Lineage: Bacteria; Pseudomonadati; Gemmatimonadota; Gemmatimonadia; Gemmatimonadales; Gemmatimonadaceae.
UACGGAGGGUGCGAGCGUUGUCCGGAAUCACUGGGCGUAAAGGGCGCGUAGGCGGCCAGGUAAGGGGGCGGUGAAAGCCCGGGGCUCAACCCCGGGUCUGCCGGACCGACUGCCAGGCUUGAGCACACUAGGGGCAGGUGGAAUUCCGGGUGUAGCGGUGGAAUGCGUAGAGAUCCGGAAGAACACCGGUGGCGAAGGCGGCCUGCCGGGGUGUGGCUGACGCUGAGGCGCGACAGCGUGGGGAGCAAACAGG